This 604-nucleotide ribosomal RNA is filed under the name uncultured bacterium. RNAcentral's name for it is "bacterial SSU rRNA". The stretch from base 1 to 479 matches the Rfam family "Bacterial small subunit ribosomal RNA", at positions 338 to 873 of the family's 1533-position model. The record is from RNAcentral.
CCUACGGGAGGCAGCAGUAAGGAAUAUUGGUCAAUGGAGGCAACUCUGAACCAGCCAUGCCGCGUGCAGGAAGACUGCCCUAUGGGUUGUAAACUGCUUUUAUCCGGGAAUAAACCUGCUUACGUGUAAGUAGCUGAAUGUACCGGAAGAAUAAGGAUCGGCUAACUCCGUGCCAGCAGCCGCGGUAAUACGGAGGAUCCAAGCGUUAUCCGGAUUUAUUGGGUUUAAAGGGUGCGUAGGCGGCCUGUUAAGUCAGGGGUGAAAGACGGUAGCUCAACUAUCGCAGUGCCCUUGAUACUGAUGGGCUUGAAUGGACUAGAGGUAGGCGGAAUGAGACAAGUAGCGGUGAAAUGCAUAGAUAUGUCUCAGAACACCGAUUGCGAAGGCAGCUUACUAUGAUCUUAUUGACGCUGAGGCACGAAAGCGUGGGGAUCAAACAGGAUUAGAUACCCUGGUAGUCCACGCCUAACGAUGACACNCNCUGUGUCGAUACACAGUCGAGCGCGAGAGAAGAGUAGUGUCGUCGUGGUUAGUUACGCCGCGAGGUAGAACGACGAGAAGUUAGAGGCGNGAGACGNGCGACGGACGACGACGAGGGAGGAGG